ACUCAGAAGCAGCUGAACUCACUGCUGGGGUCCUCGGUUCCUCGAGUCCGAACCUACACAGGUGGACUCAAAUGAGGGACCAAACAACUAGAACAUAACUCUAAAAACAUCCCCCAAAAACCCCCUAAAACACCUCAAACAAUCAUGCAAAAACAUGCAAAGGAAGGCAGAACAGGGCAGGUUCGGCGGCACCUUCGGCGGCCGAAAGUCCCUCCAGAGCCGAAACCCAGGCAGGUUCGGCGGCACCUUCGGCCGCCGAAAGUCCCAGACAGAGACGAAAGUCUCUUUUCGGGGGCAACUUCGGCAGCCGAAAGGCCUGCCUCCCCAGCCAUGUUCGGCGGCCGAAAGUUCCUUCGGCUGCCGAACCUGGUUUCUGCCAAAGGGCAGAAACUUGGCUCCUUUAUGCACAUUUGCCUCCCAA
Molecule: long non-coding RNA, 421 nt
Filed under: Manihot esculenta (cassava)
Lineage: Eukaryota; Viridiplantae; Streptophyta; Magnoliopsida; Malpighiales; Euphorbiaceae
Description: long non-coding RNA (MESC_LNC009556)
Source: RNAcentral